UUUUCCACAAUAAGCAGGCCACUCCUCCUUCCAUCUCCAAUGGGCUUUGGGAAAGGUAUAAAAGCGCCACAACCAUCUUCUGCGUCAGGACCAGUUGAAGUGCAAUAUUGAAGCCUGUACUGUACGAUUCAGGAUCCAGACUCUAACCUCAAGGCAUGUUGACCAGGAAUUUUCUCAUCCUCUGCUCUCUGGCAGUUCUGCUAGUACAAGCUGACUUCGAUACUAAUAACGAUCAUGCUGCCCAAGCCAUGUCCACAGAUAAGGACUCAACCUCGGAGGAAGCUCCAACUGAGAGCAUAAAUGCCAUCUCCUCGGAUCAGCCUAACGCUCCUAAACCUAAUGGGGUCACUGGACCUGGUGUUGCAGCAAACAGUGUUGAGGACCAGGAGGGAAAGUUAGUUGGGCCAGCAGGUGGGAACCGGAGAAAGGCCCCAGCCCCACAACAAAAGAGGAGAUCACGACCCUCCCGCCGUCAGCAGUGAAAUGCCAAAAAGACACACAGAGGCAAACAUUUACUUUUAGUUAAUUGCAUAGAAGAAACAUAUUGUAUCCAAUUACUGUAUAUGCCAUAACAUGAACGUGUACAGAACCGUACUCGCAUGAUGAAGCUGCUUCGAUGUAUCUUGAGCAGCAGAACAGUCAGCAAGACAUGACAUAUUGUUUACUGUUACGUCUGUGGAAAAACUCAGUGGUAUGUUCAAUACAAACUCAUGGGCAUUUCUCUGUGAAUAAAAUGUAGGAUUAAAUGAACAAUGUAUUGUGAUGACAUAAAACCAGGCCUAAUAUCAUAACUGACCUUGACCUUAAGAGCCACUGAAACUGCUCUAAAUUCACCAUCCUGUUUCAAAAUAGCAAGGACCUCACUCCCAUGAAAAUACCUCAAUUUCUAAAAGAGCACACACAUCGCACCAAAUGUCGGUCGGCGUUCGUUCGGCGGGGUGUGUUUUAUGGACCACUUGCCGGUGGGCGUCUGACUGCCAACAUUUUCGCGUGGUUUGCACUCGGUUUGCAAAUUACAGCUGGCACUCUGUUCAGAGGUGCUAAGUACUCUCGGGUGGCAAAAGCUACCGGUGUGUCAGUGCCUUUAGAGAGACUCUUGCUAUUUUGAUCAUGAGCCAGUUGGUGGAAAUAUGGAGUUACGAACUAGCAAUACAAACUGUUGUUAGCUAAAGUGAAAAGACUAGAUAUUCUUUACAGAAAAAGGCUAAAGAAACCCCAUAAUUUCUCUCAGAGUUGAUGAGGAUACCUUUGACUGAUGCUGCCUACACAAAGACUGUUAUACUGUCCUCAGUCAGCAUAUCUUUUAGUGGAUAGUCUUUCAAAACAACCCUGCUCUCGAACACAAAACCAGUGUUUCAGUCAAAAGUGUUUCUUUCUUUUUUCUAAUCGUCAUUUUUAUACACACAGUAUUCAACACAUUAUGUAUGAAACAUGUUUGAUGAAUAUCAAUUUCAAAACAUGUUUAAGUGUAAACCUCUGUAUCUUACAUCAUAUCUUUCUAAAUAAACUUCUUUCAGC
RNAcentral lists this long non-coding RNA (1518 nucleotides) under Salmo trutta (river trout). Its description in RNAcentral is "lncRNA (ENSSTUG00000047738.1)". Lineage: Eukaryota; Metazoa; Chordata; Actinopteri; Salmoniformes; Salmonidae. The record is from RNAcentral.